GAAAAAAUAUGGCUGAAACUUUUAAAUUUGUUUAUGUUUUAAUUUUAUUUAUUUCCAUAUGUUUUGUCAUAACAAUAUCUGAUUCUCUUAAUUUGGCAGAUUAUUCUUGUAUAAAAGAUAAAGAUUGUCCAAAGGUCAAAAGUUUUAAUAUUAGGUGUCGUAAAGGUUUUUGUGUAAAUAUCCUCUGAAUGAUUUCUCGUGCUAGCAAAAUCAGUGAACAAUGUAUCUAAUGUAGAAUAUUACAUGAGCUUACAUUUAGUUUCAGUGCAUGCAUCGAAUAAUUGUAUUUAUUUCCCUUCUUUUUUUCCCUUAUUUCAUGAAUCUUUUUUUUUUUAGUGAAUUAAUUUCAUGAAUCUUGGAGUUAUGGUUUUUACUCUAAGGAGAUCGGCGAUUGCAAUGAAAUUAAUGAAAUAAGGUACAAAAGAGUUUUAUUUAUAAGAUCAUCUACAACAGAGCACUCUAUUUUAAGUGUUUAAGUGGGUCGUGCAUGUACAUGUCAUCUAUUUUUUUAAUUUUCAAUGAUAUUACUUAAUAAGCAUCCGUUCUCUCCAACCCAGCACUUCAGAAAAAAGAUACUAAAUAAGUCAUUAAUAAUUCAAUGUCAUUGUAUUUCAUUAAAGUUUCUUGAUUUGUGUACAAUUAAUGAUGUAUGGCCCACGAAAAGUAAAGAGAGAGAGUGAUUACAUAGUCACCAUUCUCUAUAAGUACCAAACAUUUUCUCUUCACGAUGGAGGCGCUUAUUUAUUCCGGUGUUAAAUAGGUAAAGCACCAACCAUUGUAGAUGCUCUAAUGUCUCAUUUAGGUGUAAAUUUUGAGGCAUCACCAUAACCUGCAAUUAUGACAUAUCACACGUUUUCUCUAACUCCACCACCUGUACAAAUCACUUUAAUAGGUUAUAACUGUUAACAAGAACAAUGCAAAAUAGAGAAAGAGAUAAUCAAAACGAUAAAGACAACUAGGGUUUCAUAGAAUAACAAUAGCUUAAUAUUACAAAAGGUUAUAAAAGAAUAUAUAAUAAAACCUAAUGGACUCUAACUUGCUAAUAUAAAGGUCCAAUAACUUAAGCCCAAUACUUUAUUAUCUAACAUCUACCCUCAAACUCAAAAUGAGUCAACAAGAAUAUUGUGAGUUUGUCAAACAAAAUAUGAAAAAACAUACUAAAUAAUAUAAAGUUCUUACACUACCCCUCGAGCUGAAGCUUACUAAGUUUUAAGCUUGUUAAAAAUUAACCCAGAAAAAUAAACCAAAUCUGUUGUUAGCAAAACCAAUGGAGAGCAUCAACCAAAGUGAGUUAUCUUCGUAGAGAGAGCAACAAGAGAGAAGCAGUCAUACAUAAGAACCAAUAGAGGCGUAACCAAAGAAUCAUCACAAGUGGGAAAAGUACAAUUAGAAGAAUAAA
Molecule: long non-coding RNA, 1399 nt
Filed under: Medicago truncatula (barrel medic)
Lineage: Eukaryota; Viridiplantae; Streptophyta; Magnoliopsida; Fabales; Fabaceae
Description: long non-coding RNA (MTRU_LNC004976)
Source: RNAcentral